GAUGAACGCUAGCGAUAGGCUUAACACAUGCAAGUCGAGGGGCAGCAUUGUCUUAGCUUGCUAAGACUGAUGGCGACCGGCGCACGGGUGCGUAACGCGUAUGCAACUUGCCUCACAGAGGGGGAUAACCCGUCGAAAGACGGACUAAUACCGCGUACACUCUAUUUUGGGCAUCCAAGGUAGAGGAAAUGAAAUUCGCUGUGAGAUAGGCAUGCGUCCCAUUAGCUAGUUGGUGAGGUAACGGCUCACCAAGGCGACGAUGGGUAGGGGAACUGAGAGGUUGAACCCCCACACUGGUACUGAGACACGGACCAGACUCCUACGGGAGGCAGCAGUGAGGAAUAUUGAUCAAUGGGCGAGAGCCUGAACCAGCCAAGUCGCGUGAAGGAUGACUGUCUUAUGGAUUGUAAACUUCUUUUGUAGGGGAAUAAAGAGGGGCACGUGUGCCCCAGUGAAUGUACCCUACGAAUAAGCAUCGGCUAACUCCGUG
This 490-nucleotide ribosomal RNA is filed under the name uncultured bacterium. RNAcentral's name for it is "partial 16S ribosomal RNA". It matches the Rfam family "Bacterial small subunit ribosomal RNA", at positions 28 to 507 of the family's 1533-position model. The record is from RNAcentral.